RNAcentral lists this ribosomal RNA (440 nucleotides) under uncultured bacterium. RNAcentral describes it as "partial 16S ribosomal RNA". It matches the Rfam family "Bacterial small subunit ribosomal RNA", at positions 338 to 795 of the family's 1533-position model. The record is from RNAcentral.
CCUACGGGAGGCAGCAGUGGGGAAUAUUGCACAAUGGGGGAAACCCUGAUGCAGCGACGCCGCGUGAGUGAAGAAGUAUUUCGGUAUGUAAAGCUCUAUCAGCAGGGAAGAAAAUGACGGUACCUGACUAAGAAUCCCCGGCUAACUACGUGCCAGCAGCCGCGGUAAGACGUAGGGGGCAAGCGUUAUCCGGAUUUACUGGGUGUAAAGGGAGCGUAGGCGGCCAGACAAGUCAGAAGUGAAAGCCUAGGGCUCAACCCUAGGACUGCAUUUGAAACUGGCGGGCUGGAGUGCAGGAGAGGUAAGCGGAAUUCGUGGUGUAGCGGUGAAAUGUGUAGAUAUUAGGAAGAACACCAGUGGCGAAGGCGGCUUACUGGACUGUAACUGACGUUGAGGCUCGAAAGCGUGGGGAGCAAACAGGAUUAGAUACCCGAGUAGUC